AGUGAACGCUGGCGGUAGGCCUAACACAUGCAAGUCGAACGGCAGCCCAGUAAGAGCUUGCUCUUACGGGUGGCGAGUGGCGGAUGGGUGAGGAAUACAUCGGAAUCUACUUUUUCGUGGGGGAUAACGUAGGGAAACUUACGCUAAUACCGCAUCCGAUCUACGGGUAAAAGCAGGGGAUCUUCGGACCUUGCGCGAUUGCAUGAGCCGAUGUCGGAUUAGCUAGUUGGCGGGGUCAAGGUCCACCAAGGCUACGGUCCGUAGCUGGUCCGAGAGGAUGGUCAGCCACACGGGAAGUGAGACACGGUCCAGACUCCGACGGGAGGCAGCAGUGGGGAAUAUUGGACAAUGGGCGCAAGCCUGAUCCAGCCAUACCGCGUGAGUGAAGAAGGCCUUCGGGUUGGAGAGCCCUUUUGUUGGGAAAGAAAAGCAGCAGGUUAAUACCCCGCGAUUCUGACGGUACCCAAAGAAUAAGCACCGGCUAACUUCGUG
RNAcentral lists this ribosomal RNA (492 nucleotides) under uncultured bacterium. RNAcentral describes it as "partial 16S ribosomal RNA". It matches the Rfam family "Bacterial small subunit ribosomal RNA", at positions 29 to 507 of the family's 1533-position model. The record is from RNAcentral.